Long non-coding RNA from Triticum aestivum (bread wheat), 1111 nucleotides. RefSeq lists it as uncharacterized. Lineage: Eukaryota; Viridiplantae; Streptophyta; Magnoliopsida; Poales; Poaceae. The record is from RefSeq and is a predicted model, not a curated record. The transcript has 5 exons.
AGAGAUGAUCAUACUUAUGGAAACUCAGAUGCCUUGCACUGCUGCCGGAUCAAGGAUGGAGUGAACUAAAACACUUUGCUAUUACAACUAGCCCUCCAUGUUCCAUGAAUCGACAGGGGAAGAAUUGGCAAUGCUAAAUUGGUGAGAAGAGAGCAAGAGGAAGAUGAUGAGUUGACAUGGAAAAGCGACUUGCGAUAUGUUCAACGGAUCACCAUGUCAAGGAAUGAGCAGUUAAAUAAGAGUCUUUUCGACAAAAGUAAGAGGGAGUAUUUCAUAACUAAACAGGUUUUAUGUACAAUCUGUUACUGACUGGCAUUGUGAAAAACGCAGAGAAAAAUGAAGCCUGAGGACGCUAUCAGCCUUUCCUGUCAAGUAUUGGCCACUACUAUCUGCAUUAGCUUCACCUCAGAACAUGCCCUUUUUCACUUGGAGAGAGGAAGUAGGAGUUCUCAGUGAUGAUCAUCUACAAGGUACCAUACAUGUUUGUUGAUUGACUAACAAAGACAAAGGCUGUACCAUUAUUGAUGUUUCUAUAGCAUUGUUUCCAGCUGCUGUAACACCUGUUUUUACACUUGCGAGUAUGAACUAUUUGGCUAUAUUUUAUAGAACUUAUGUACCGAUGUAGAAUGGUAUAUCAUGCUUUUAUACUUUAUGAUAUACCUUUUUGUUGUAGUAUUUUGGAAAGUUGCAAUGCUCAACAUUUGUAUAGACUUCUAUCAUAAUGAUCCUCUCCUUGCCAGUUGGGCCUUCAAAAUGAAUGUUUUUCUCGCUAGCACACAGCCGGCAGCCCAGUGGGCGGGCGGCACCCAUGCCAGCUUCCAAAAAGAACGGCCACGACCGAUCGGACGACCUAGUUCAGGCCGUCGGCGUCCAACAUCUCCUUCUGCUUGGCCUCGAACCACGCCCUCGUUCUCGUCGAUUGCGGCCUUGCGCCGUGCGGCCUCCAUCGCAUCGCGCAUGGCGACGAACUUGGCCGCGGCGGCAUUCCCCUUGACGACCGCCCUCCGGUUCCUCCUCUUUGCCGAUUCCACGUCCAACUUGGCGAUCUCCUCCGGUGUGCACUCCAACAGUGGCUUCCUUGGCGCCUUGGCCGCCUUAUUCUUCACCUUUC